CGCACAAAUAUUUUUUUGAGUUUGAAUUUGACACAUCAGAGUGCCCAGCAAUGACUGUGAGUAGGUGUGCGGCCCAUCCGAUAUAUGAAGAAGAAUUGGUCGAGUUUGACCAUCCAACAGAACAAUGCAGUAGCUCUAUUUCUGGGAAUAAUUUGAUUGAAUAUCACCAAGAUUUUGUUACAUCAGAAAUGGAUGCUGCUGCAACUAAGCGAAGCCUUUUUGAAUAUGAUGGAGCAGAAACUAGUGGAAUCGGUGAGGAACCACAACCCAAAAGACAGAAAAACUCAGAAUUCUCUUGAUCACCUUGAAGGGUAAUGAACAACCGCCUUCAUGCUGAGCUCUUAGCAGGUCGUUCCUGAAAUUGACAUUGAUGGUGGAAUCUUUGGUUGAAGUGCAUGUGAUUGAAGGGCUCUUUCUAGUUAAGUAGUUUAAAUAAUUCUGAAUUUCAGAUGAUCACAUCUCUAUUCUGAAGGAAAUUAUGUGAAUAUUACCUUAUGGCUCACUCUUAUAGACUAUAUAUAGCAGUUGUUGGAUUCUUUUA
Molecule: long non-coding RNA, 541 nt
Organism: Pistacia vera
Lineage: Eukaryota; Viridiplantae; Streptophyta; Magnoliopsida; Sapindales; Anacardiaceae
Exons: 2
Source: RefSeq, a predicted model, not a curated record